Non-coding RNA from Oryctolagus cuniculus (rabbit), 3603 nucleotides. The record is from RefSeq and is a predicted model, not a curated record. NCBI's taxonomy places the organism in Eukaryota, Metazoa, Chordata, Mammalia, Lagomorpha, Leporidae.
UCCGAAUGUCCCAAGGGUUGAUUCUGAGGCAGGAGUGCUGUUUUGGGCAUUUGCCAUUCCAUGAGUCUGCUGUGUGUCCUGCUUCCCCUGCAGGAUCAUACUCUCCCUUUUAAUUCUAUCCUUCAUUGUUUGCUUACACUGGUCUUAUUUGUGAAAUUUCUUCAACACUUACCCUAUCUUUUUGGUCGGUUGUGUAUUUAUACUUAUCACUUUACCAAGUGCACUGGCAUUGGUACCUGCCUCCUUGGUAAGAUUGAGCUGAAAUCCCCUGGCACAUUUCUAGUUCCACCAUUGGAGUUCAACCUCUUCAUAUAUUGAGAAUAUUUCUGUCCUUUGUGAUACAUGGACUUCUCCUAUUUAGGACAGAUUUUUCAACUUCUUUAGAGUCUUCCUCAUUUGUAUAAUUAAACAGGCAUCCCUGAAACAUGAAAAGGUAGGUUGUCAAUAUGAAGAAAGGACUCCAUACAUUUAAUUCUUCUUGUCAGUUAGGUAUGUGCAUCCAGCAUCACUGGACAACAAUAAAGCAAAAAUAUAUUUUACAAUAAUUCAAAGAACUAGAAAUUUGGGGCGGUUUUUUAAGACUGCUACAAAAGUCAUAGUGGAAUAAGCCUCAGUUUAUGACUCCAGUAUCACAUACCCCAGUGCCAGUCCAAGACCUUGGGGUUCUGCUUCUGAUCUAGGUUUCUGCUCAUGCUCCUGGGAAGGCAGCAGAGGAUGACUCAAGUCUUUGAGCCCCUGCCACUCACAUGCAGGUUUUGUGACAUCAGUGCAGUUUCUGGCUCCUGGCUUCAUAUGUGCCCAGUGUGGCUGAUGUAAGGGUUUGGGGAAUGACCUAGUAGAUGGAAAAUAUCUGUCACUACAUCUUUCCAAUCCCUCACUCUCUGUUGUAAAUUGAUUGUUAUAUCAAAAUUAGACAGAAAAGAAAGAAGGAAAGAAAGAAAAAAGUAAGAAUGUAAGUGGAAAGAAAGGAAGCAUCAUUGUAUCAGGACUGUAAAAAACAUAUUUUAAAUUUACAAGCAUAGAAAUGAUGACAUAAAACAUUUAGAAUUUAUAGCUUGUCCUAAAUAAUCACUCUGUGGAAUCUUUAAUGUUCAUGUUGUCAUAAACACACUGCUUAUUAUUAAAAAAAUUUUUGUAAAACUAUCAAUUUUCUGAAUAAUCCAUGUCAGCUAAGCAAAUUUUUAAAUUUUAUUUGCAAAUGAUUAUUUAUUUUUCAUCUACUCGAAAGACAGAGUGAUUGGGGGUUGGGAGGAAGAGAGAAAAAAUGAGAUCUUGCAACUUCUGAUUCACUUCCCAAAUGCCUGCCAUAGCCAAGGUUGGGCCAGAAGGAAACCAGGAGCCAGUUCUCCAGUGGACUCCCAUGUUGGUGGCCACACCCAGACAUUUUAUCUAUCAUCAGAUGCUUUCCAGAGUGCAAUAACAGAAAGCUAGAUCAGAAGCAGAGCAGCCAGGACUCAAACUGUCACCCUGGUAUGUGUUAUGGGCUUACAAAUUGUGGCUUAAUGCACUGUAUCACAAUACCUGCUCAAGAUGUAUUUUUUAUGGAAGCCCAGUAUCAACAUGUUUAAAUCCUGCUGCAUUUCCUGAUGGUAAUGUAUAUGUAAUAUUCUUUCAAGGAAGCAUUUUUUUCUGUUUAAGUUUUUAUACAAUAUUUCAUUAUGCUUCAAGUUAGAUGACUAAUUGUGAUAGAAUGUGUAAAAUUUAUCAUUUAAAACUGGUAACGAUGUAAGAGAGCUUACAGAAUAAAAUUGAUUAGGUUUGGAAAAUCAUGCCCCUGUAUGACUUCAUGCCCCUACCUGGCCACACCUGUGUGCCACCGGCCAAUCAGAAUAAUUAAUCACUCCCCUUUGGAAGUGGAUUAAAAGCCUGAAACAGGUGGGCCUCCCCUUUUGCCCUUUGCCCUUUGCCCUUUUUCUUCUUCCUUGCUGCCCUGAAUCCCCUUGCUGCCCUGUGCCUUCAGGGCACGGGACCUUCGGGGCCACCUGCUCCAUGCUUCCUGGCCAGCAUGCUCUUCCACGUGGCUGGCUCCUACCUGGAUUCCCCUCUCUUUUAGAUAGGGCCCUCACUCUCCUAUGCAUGUCUCUCACUGAAUAAAAAGCUUAAAAACUUAUCAUGCUGCCUGGAUUAUUUGUACCAGUAUUCAGAAUUCUUCUCUGAAUAUGAGGCAAGAAUCCACACAGCUUUUAAUCUUGAAUUAUUAAUAAGCAAGCCAGUAGCAGUAAGAGACAUUUUAUAAGGCACAUUCUAUAUGGGAGAUAAUUGAUUGUAUCUUGUAUUUUUGUGGGGAAUGUGAGGUUGCAAUAAAUAUAAAUGUUUUGAAUUAAGUAAAAUAUUUCCUAUUUUACAGAUGGAUUUACUAUAGGAAAAAUUCUUAAGGUACUGUUUGUGAAAAUGACUCUACUUACCUGAUUAAUUGGCUAAUUCUUGUUCUCAAGUAAGGCACUUAAUGGUGCUUAAUCUUUAAAUGUCAGAAUUUAUGGAAUUAAUUAACUGAAAUCAUUAUAGCACUUUAACAUUACAUAUUACUUUCCCAAAUGAUUAUCUCAUUGACCUUAUUUGAUGUGAUAUAAUAACCUUGCUCUUGAAAUAAAAUUGCAAUCUUCAUAAGAGAGAAUUUUGAGAAUUUUUUUAUUAUCUCACUAUAAAAAUUGAGGAUAUUGGCAAAUAAAUCUGAAGAAACAAAACAUGAUAGGUAUUUUUAUACUGAUUAGGAAUCAUAAAACAAAGUAUUUUAAUUAUUGAUUAUAAGUUUUGUCUCAUUAAGACCAUGAACUGUAUGAUAGAUUUCAUGGGUAUCUUGCUCAUGUUCUGUCAUUCUGCAUCAGACUAACUGCCAGUCUUUGCGUUUUCUCCCUGAGGGUGUUCUCUGCUCUCUGGACACUGCUGUGUCCAUACCACACAAAGUGCCAUUGAACUAACACAACCCUGGGAGAAGCUUUCAACCAGUGAUGGAUGGGAGCUGAUGUGAAUAGACCCCAGGCACUGCCUCCAGGGAAUCCUUUGUCAAGGAAAACAGGGUAAGCAGAAGGAAAAACAACAGGAAGAAUGGACGCCAUACACUCAGAAGCUCAGUCUGAAUGCGAACUGGAUUCUCAGUUCUUUGCUGAGAUUUCCACCUGGCUUCUCAGGGCUUUAGUGUUCCUGAAAUCCACAUGUAUGGGGCAAGCAUUCUGCAGAUAUCAAUAUGUAAGUAAAGCCCAUGAGGGCAAUAGGGUCUGGGGAAAAGGUGCCAGUGCAGUAGCUAUGGGUGGUUUUAAUGCUGAAUGCACUUGAUUAUACCUACAGUAUCUGCUUAAAGCCAAUUUUUCUAUAUUUUAGUUGCACAUAAUAUUGGAGUGGACUGUACAUAGUCCACUCUUUACCUUGAUAGAUAACUUAAUAAAAGGCAUCUCAGUUACACUAAUUCAGAAGUUUAUUCUUUUUAUGACUAACAACAAUUUUGAUGAAAUAUGUCAAGAGGAAAUUACUGGACAAAAUUAUCUAAAUUUUCUCUAAAAAUUUAGGAGUAUUAUUAUGUUAUUGAUUUUGUCAGGAUCUCCAUGCAGCAGAAAUAUAUGCUGACAAAAAUAUGUGAAUGAUACUUUUUUUUUUUUUUUUUGACAG